GAUGAACGCUGGCGGCGUGCCUAAUACAUGCAAGUCGAGCGAACAGACGAGGAGCUUGCUCCUCUGACGUUAGCGGCGGACGGGUGAGUAACACGUGGAUAACCUACCUAUAAGACUGGGAUAACUUCGGGAAACCGGAGCUAAUACCGGAUAAUAUAUUGAACCGCAUGGUUCAAUAGUGAAAGACGGUUUUGCUGUCACUUAUAGAUGGAUCCGCGCCGCAUUAGCUAGUUGGUAAGGUAACGGCUUACCAAGGCAACGAUGCGUAGCCGACCUGAGAGGGUGAUCGGCCACACUGGAACUGAGACACGGUCCAGACUCCUACGGGAGGCAGCAGUAGGGAAUCUUCCGCAAUGGGCGAAAGCCUGACGGAGCAACGCCGCGUGAGUGAUGAGGGCCUUCGGAUCGUAAAACUCUGUUAUUAGGGAAGAACAAAUGUGUAAGUAACUAUGCACGUCUUGACGGUACCUAAUCAGAAAGCCACGGCUAACUACGUG
RNAcentral lists this ribosomal RNA (497 nucleotides) under uncultured bacterium. RNAcentral describes it as "partial 16S ribosomal RNA". It matches the Rfam family "Bacterial small subunit ribosomal RNA", at positions 28 to 507 of the family's 1533-position model. The record is from RNAcentral.